CCUUCAAAAGCUCAGCUGGUAGAGCAGAUGGUAGAAGUCCCUAAGUCUCUGGUUCAAUUCCAGAUUGAAGGA
Non-coding RNA from Lamprotornis superbus, 72 nucleotides. Lineage: Eukaryota; Metazoa; Chordata; Aves; Passeriformes; Sturnidae. The record is from the annotation of a GenBank genome assembly.